RNAcentral lists this unclassified non-coding RNA (154 nucleotides) under uncultured fungus. RNAcentral describes it as "sequence contains ITS1". The stretch from base 1 to 111 matches the Rfam family "5.8S ribosomal RNA", at positions 50 to 154 of the family's 154-position model. From Rfam's summary of the family: 5.8S ribosomal RNA (5.8S rRNA) is a component of the large subunit of the eukaryotic ribosome. It is transcribed by RNA polymerase I as part of the 45S precursor that also contains 18S and 28S rRNA. Functionally, it is thought that 5.8S rRNA may be involved in ribosome translocation. Lineage: Eukaryota; Fungi. The record is from RNAcentral.
GAAAUGCGAUACUUGGUGUGAAUUGCAGAAUCCCGUGAACCAUCGAGUCUUUGAACGCAAGUUGCGCCCGAAGCCAUUCAUCCCCCACGCGGCGUCGCUCCAUCAGGCUUGCGCCCAUUGUGAAAAAUUCUCGACUGCUGCCUCCCGUAGGAGU